CUCCUAAUACACCGUCCACUUGAAAAAAACACCACAGCUAUCUCUCUCCCUUAUCUCUUUCUCUCCCGAUCUGAGCGGCGGCGGCGACGCUCGCAUCUGGCGAAGCCCAAGCGCCCGGUGAGGCCACCUCUCCCCUCCCUCACAGGGCACCACCGCCCCAACCCAUACCCAGCUCCCUCUCCCCUCUCAUGGUAGCAGAUCUGAGCGGGACAAGGCCCGUUCGGUUCUGGUGGUUCGGAACGGGGCGGGUGGCCUCUGCUCCCUUAUCAUCUGGCGACUAGGAGAGUGGCGGCUGGUGCCCCCAUCUUCUUAGCCAUCCAUGGCGUCAACGACAUCCAUAAUCCCCCCCCCCCCCCUCUCUACAGAUUUUAACUCCCAGCAAUGGUUGGUACGCCCAUCUCUCUGCAGAUUGUUCUCUUUUAAAAAAAUCAGCGCUGCUUUGAUUCAUGGAAAUAAAGAAGCUUUUGAAGCAGUAAAGUUCAAACCCUAGCCAUAGAUUGCUAUUAUUGUCUAUUUAUAUUGUGCGAUUGUUAGCAACUGAAUUGGAUAAUGGUUUUUGCAGGGCUACCUUUAGAAUCCGCAGGUAGAAGAUUUCUGCAAACAGAAAGCAAAAUGAGGUACAAAAAAAUUCAUUGGAACUUCUACCAGGCAAAUUAAUCUUUGUAAGUAUGGUGGAUGGUUGGGCAAAUAGGCCACUGGAAGAUGUCCAUAGUCAUAUGCCUGCAUUACAUCGACUUGAUGCUACUAUUUACUCUCAAGAACAUCUGUAAGUAUGUAUGUGAGAUAGCAAGCAAUGUUGGAUGCCCUCACUAUUUACUUUCUAUUGGCAUAUAGGACUAUGUGCUUGUCCAGUAAACACAUCUCCAGUUUCCUAUUAAUUCUUUGGUACAAAUGGAAUACAUGUAGCACUUUGUAAAUGUUUCCUUAUGAAAUAUCAUACUGUAACAUCAUGUUCUAUUUAGUCCCUAGAAGCAAUACUUGGUUUCAACUUUGAAAGACGAAAUGAAUUCCUCUAUGGGGCGUCUGAACAAAAAGGGCAUCUUCCUCGUCCGGUCACUAAGAUAAUUUCGGUCACUUAUCUGAACAAAAAGGGUUCUGGUCUCUUAAUGAAAUUGGGGGUCCAUUGAGGGCUUCAGUGACAACACCGGCGUCGCUGCGUACAAUUCCUUGAUCUAUCUUCGCAAUAUAUCAAUGUUGGUGUCUCUCUUCUCCAUGCCUCUAAUAGUUCAUGGAAGUAACUGCAUAACCAAAUUGAUUAAGACUACCUGCAUCGUGUGAUUUAAUCAAUUGAAUUUAAUUGACUUGAUUUCCUCUAUUAUGUUGUUGUUCUCUCAAUUGAGGUUGGCUGACCAUGCUUCUACCCUAUCCCCUAGGAUUUUUUUAGAGCACUGAAGAUGUUGUUUGUGAUAGACAGGAAACUACAUGCAGACUAAACUUCAAGAUUGUGCAACUGAUAUUGAACACCACGUUCUAAUCCUGACUCUCUAGCCUUUGAACCUUCUCAACUACUAACUACGCCCCAAUCCAGCAUUUAUUUUUCAGGCUAACAAAGGCGACAAUGAUUCACCUAGUGGAUGAGGAAGCAUAAAGAUGAGAGUAAAGUUGGGUCCAUCCUCUAUAAGGAAGCAAAUAAAAGGACUACAGUCACAAGGAACAAUGAAGCCAGCUAUCUACGUCAACUAGAUGUUUUAGCUUUAAUUUUGUACAACUGAUGUCUUAUACUUGCAUCUUUUAGCUAUCCUUUUGUGAACCUGAUGUAUGGUAUUUUGGUGGUUAUAUUAGAACAGACCAAAGUGUAUGUAUGUGACAAUUAGUUCAUGGAAUAAAAAUGUUUGGUGCUCCUGGAUG
Triticum aestivum (bread wheat) is the source of this 1848-nucleotide long non-coding RNA. RefSeq lists it as uncharacterized. The record is from RefSeq and is a predicted model, not a curated record. Lineage: Eukaryota; Viridiplantae; Streptophyta; Magnoliopsida; Poales; Poaceae. The transcript is spliced from 3 exons.